This 492-nucleotide ribosomal RNA is filed under the name uncultured bacterium. RNAcentral's name for it is "partial 16S ribosomal RNA". It matches the Rfam family "Bacterial small subunit ribosomal RNA", at positions 29 to 507 of the family's 1533-position model. The record is from RNAcentral.
AGUGAACGCUGGCGGUAGGCCUAACACAUGCAAGUCGAACGGCAGCACAGUAAGAGCUUGCUCUUACGGGUGGCGAGUGGCGGACGGGUGAGGAAUACAUCGGAAUCUACUUUUUCGUGGGGGAUAACGUAGGGAAGCUUACGCUAAUACCGCAUACGACCUACGGUUGAAAGCAGGGGAUCUUCGGACCUUGCGCGAUUGAAUGAGCCGAUGUCGGAUUAGCUAGUUGGCGGGGUAAAGGCCCACCAAGGCGACGAUCCGUAGCUGGUCUGAGAGGAUGAUCAGCCACACUGGAACUGAGACACGGUCCAGACUCCUACGGGAGGCAGCAGUGGGGAAUAUUGGACAAUGGGCGCAAGCCUGAUCCAGCCAUACCGCGUGGGUGAAGAAGGCCUUCGGGUUGUAAAGCCCUUUUGUUGGGAAAGAAAAGCAGCAGGUUAAUACCCCGCUGUUCUGACGGUACCCAAAGAAUAAGCACCGGCUAACUUCGUG